Molecule: long non-coding RNA, 645 nt
Organism: Branchiostoma floridae (Florida lancelet)
Lineage: Eukaryota; Metazoa; Chordata; Leptocardii; Amphioxiformes; Branchiostomatidae
Exons: 3
Source: RefSeq, a predicted model, not a curated record
GUUAACGAAUACGUAUAUAUGAUCGAGAUUUUGCCAGGUAUCGGCACCUGCUAUCCGAGCUGCACAGCACUGUUUUUCCUGCGAUUGCAAAAAGGCCUCCGUCGGUGAACCAGCGUCAGUACGGACCAGAGCUCCAGACACCAUGCCUAACCCUGACGAUAAAGACAAAGGGUCAGGACAGGAGAAAGAGAAGGACAAGGGUACCGACACAAACCCUACAGAUCCCAAACCGGAUCCACCGAGGGACAGGAACCCGAUGUAGCGCUCCUGCUCCUACACGUCAAGUUCCAUGCAUCUCGUAAUAACUGGUAUCAUCUAAGUGGCCUGGCUGAUAAUCAAGGAUGAGACACACAACGUGACCAUUAUGUAGUCAAGAUGCCAUAACGAGAACUGUCAGAGCAAACUUACAGCAUAUACAUGUAUCUACGUUAGAUCAGCGGUGGUCAAACCAACAUCUGUGUUAUUUCUUAACUCGCUACAUGAGAACACAACACCAGCCUUAAAAAAUAACGUUAUACAUAGUAUAAAAAACUCUAGACUCUAGACUGUUUGUAACAGGAUCAGGAUGGUCACCCUUCACUAGUAACAUCAUUAUAAAUGUAGCAACUUUUAUGAUGCUAGAAUAAAGACAUGGACUUCCUUCUG